This is a long non-coding RNA of Eriocheir sinensis (Chinese mitten crab), 1370 nucleotides long. RefSeq lists it as uncharacterized. NCBI's taxonomy places the organism in Eukaryota, Metazoa, Arthropoda, Malacostraca, Decapoda, Varunidae. The record is from RefSeq and is a predicted model, not a curated record. The transcript is spliced from 3 exons.
UAUAACAAAAGAAAGACAAAACUAGGAUAUUCAAAGGUUAUAUGAGGUUGAAUAUAACAAAAGAAAGACAAAACUAGGAUAUUCAAAGGUUAUAUGAGGUUGAAUAUAACAAAAGAAAGACAAAACUAGGAUAUUCAAAGGUUAUAUGAGGUUGAAUAUAACAAAAGAAAGACAAAACUAGGAUAUUCAAAGGUUAUAUGAGGUUGAAUAUAACAAAAGAAAGACAAAACUAGGAUAUUCAAAGGUUAUAUGAGGUUGAAUAUAACAAAAGAAAGACAAAACUAGGAUAUUCAAAGGUUAUAUGAGGUUGAAUAUAACAAAAGAAAGACAAAACUAGGAUAUUCAAAGGUUAUAUGAGGUUGAAUAUAACAAAAGAAAGACAAAACUAGGAUAUUCAAAGGUUAUAUGAGGUUGAAUAUAACAAAAGAAAGACAAAACUAGGAUAUUCAAAGGUUAUAUGAGGUUGAAUAUAACAAAAGAAAGACAAAACUAGGAUAUUCAAAGGUUAUAUGAGGUUGAAUAUAACAAAAGAAAGACAAAACUAGGAUAUUCAAAGGUUAUAUGAGGUUGAAUAUAACAAAAGAAAGACAAAACUAGGAUAUUCAAAGGUUAUAUGAGGUUGAAUAUAACAAAAGAAAGACAAAACUAGGAUAUUCAAAGGUUAUAUGAGGUUGAAUAUAACAAAAGAAAGACAAGUGCAAAAACCAAGACACACAAUCAAAGGACCAGAACACCUAACAAACCUACACCAUACAACUGUGCACGCCUGCUGUCUUUCCUUCUCCCCCACCUGUACCUUCACCACUAACCCACUUCCUCUUCUUUCGAUACCCUUGAUUAAAAAAAUAAAUAAAAUAAAAUGUAACUCUGAGGUUGGAUUUAAUAACAGAAGGAUAAGUGAAGAGACUAAGACAUUCAGUACGGCAGUCAAAAGGUUAACCCGGUAGCAGCGACGGGCCAAAUUUGUGGUUUACCGUGUAGCAGCGAUGGGCCAAAUUUGUGGUUUACCGUGUAGCAGCGACGGGCCAAAUUUGUGGUUUACCGUGUAGCAGCGACGGGCCAAAUUUGUGGUUUACCGUGUAGCAGCGACGGGCCAAAUUUGUGGUUUACCGUGUAGCAGCGACGGGCCAAAUUUGUGGUUUACCGUGUAGCAGCGACGGGCCAAAUUUGUGGUUUACCGUGUAGCAGCGACGGGCCAAAUUUGUGGUUUACCGUGUAGCAGCGACGGGCCAAAUUUGUGGUUUACCGUGUAGCAGCGACGGGCCAAAUUUGUGGUUUACCGUGUAGCAGCGACGGGCCAAAUUUGUGGUUUACCAUGUAGCAGCGAUGGGCCAAAUUUGUGGUUUACCGUGUAGCAACGACGGGCCAAA